RNAcentral lists this ribosomal RNA (421 nucleotides) under Altica sp. 221-green. Its description in RNAcentral is "eukaryotic LSU rRNA". The record is from RNAcentral. Lineage: Eukaryota; Metazoa; Arthropoda; Insecta; Coleoptera; Chrysomelidae.
CCCGAAAGGUCGAAAGAGGAAAUUCAUUCGCGUCUCGACUGUCGGAGUUGAAAGUUUGUGUGACGGAUUACGUUUACGUCGUCCGCGCCUCUCGUUCUUCGAACCGAUGUGGAACGCGUGCACUUUUCCUCUAGUAGGACGUCGCGAUCCGUUGGGUGUCUGUCUAAGACUUGGGGUGGAGCCCACAUGGCUUUUGUCGCGUGGACCCUCGAUGUUCCGACAGACUCGCUCGACGGUAUGCUAAAGGCGCGGGGCCGCUACUCAGUUAGCGUUCGGCCCGUAGCAAGCACGUUCUGUGUUUGACGGUGAUCGGACCUGGUGCCGAUUCUGUCCCAGAACGACUGUUGGUUGCGGUGUUCUCGAACAGACCUCGUUGAAACGCCGAUCAGCGACGCUAUAGCUUUGGGUACUUUCAGGACCC